This 253-nucleotide ribosomal RNA is filed under the name uncultured bacterium. RNAcentral's name for it is "partial 16S ribosomal RNA". It matches the Rfam family "Bacterial small subunit ribosomal RNA", at positions 524 to 776 of the family's 1533-position model. The record is from RNAcentral.
UACGGGGGGGGCAAGCGUUGUUCGGAAUUACUGGGCGUAAAGGGCUCGUAGGCGGCCAACUAAGUCAGACGUGAAAUCCCUCGGCUUAACCGGGGAACUGCGUCUGAUACUGGAUGGCUUGAGGUUGGGAGAGGGAUGCGGAAUUCCAGGUGUAGCGGUGAAAUGCGCAGAUAUCAGGAGGAACACCAAUGGCGAAGGCGAGUCUCUGGACAUUUCCUGACGCUGAGGCACGAAAGCCAGGGGAGCAAACGGG